AACGCACAUGGCGCCUUCCAGUAUCCUGGGAGGCAUGCCUGUCCGAGCGUCGUUUCAACCCUCGAGCCCCUGUGGCCCGGCGUUGGGGAUCUGCCACGGCAGGCCCCUAAAACCAGUGGCGGACCCGAUGGGCCCUCUCCUUUACGUAGUAGCAUUCGCCUCGUAUUGGGAGUCCUCGGCGUCCUGCCUCUAAACCCCCCACAAGCCCGCUCCGGCGGCACCAAGGUUGACCUCGGAUCAGGUAGGAAUACCCGCUGAACUUAA
RNAcentral lists this unclassified non-coding RNA (264 nucleotides) under uncultured Plectosphaerella. Its description in RNAcentral is "sequence contains ITS2". The record is from RNAcentral. Lineage: Eukaryota; Fungi; Ascomycota; Sordariomycetes; Glomerellales; Plectosphaerellaceae.